Molecule: ribosomal RNA, 291 nt
Filed under: uncultured Aquabacterium sp.
Lineage: Bacteria; Pseudomonadati; Pseudomonadota; Betaproteobacteria; Burkholderiales; Sphaerotilaceae
Description: partial 16S ribosomal RNA
Rfam family: Bacterial small subunit ribosomal RNA
Source: RNAcentral
GUGGCAGCCGCCGCGGUAAUACGUAGGGUGCGAGCGUUAAUCGGAAUUACUGGGCGUAAAGCGUGCGCAGGCGGCUUUGCAAGACAGAGGUGAAAUCCCCGGGCUCAACCUGGGAACUGCCUUUGUGACUGCAAGGCUAGAGUACGGCAGAGGGGGAUGGAAUUCCGCGUGUAGCAGUGAAAUGCGUAGAUAUGCGGAGGAACACCAAUGGCGAAGGCAAUCCCCUGGGCCUGUACUGACGCUCAUGCACGAAAGCGUGGGGAGCAAACAGGAUUAGAUACCCCUGUAGUC